This 308-nucleotide ribosomal RNA is filed under the name uncultured bacterium. RNAcentral describes it as "partial 16S ribosomal RNA". It matches the Rfam family "Bacterial small subunit ribosomal RNA", at positions 505 to 807 of the family's 1533-position model. The record is from RNAcentral.
GAGACAGCAGUCGCCGCGGUAAUACAGAGGGUGCGAGCGUUAAUCGGAUUUACUGGGCGUAAAGCGUGCGUAGGCGGCUAAUUGAGUCGGAUGUGAAAUCCCCGAGCUUAACUUGGGAAUUGCAUUCGAUACUGGUUAGCUAGAGUGUGGGAGAGGAUGGUAGAAUUCCAGGUGUAGCGGUGAAAUGCGUAGAGAUCUGGAGGAAUACCGAUGGCGAAGGCAGCCAUCUGGCCUAACACUGACGCUGAGGUACGAAAGCAUGGGGAGCAAACAGGAUUAGAUACCCCGGUAGUCCCUGUCUCUUAUAC